ACCUAAAAUAGAAUGGGAAAAACUUGUGCACCAAAAACUAUAAAUCACAGAUGCAAGAAAUUAAAGAAGACGUAAUAAAUGGGAAUACAUCCAUGUUUAUGGAUUGGAAGACUUAAUGUGGCCAAAAUGCUUAUCCUACAGUUUCAGUUUAAUUAAUACAAUCCCUAUCAAAAUUCUAAUAGCAUUACUUUACAUAAAGAAAAAAUUUCUAAAAUUUAUAUGGAACCACAU
Molecule: long non-coding RNA, 231 nt
Organism: Phyllostomus discolor (pale spear-nosed bat)
Lineage: Eukaryota; Metazoa; Chordata; Mammalia; Chiroptera; Phyllostomidae
Exons: 3
Source: RefSeq, a predicted model, not a curated record